ACGGGUGAGUAAUACAUCGGAACGUAUCCUGGAGUGGGGGAUAGCCCGGCGAAAGCCGGAUUAAUACCGCAUACGCUCUGAGGAGGAAAGCGGGGGACCUUCGGGCCUCGCGCUCAAGGGGCGGCCGAUGGCGGAUUAGGUAGUUGGUGGGGUAAAGGCCUACCAAGCCGACGAUCCGUAGCUGGUCUGAGAGGACGACCAGCCACACUGGGACUGAGACACGGCCCAGACUCCUACGGGAGGCAGCAGUGGGGAAUUUUGGACAAUGGGGGCAACCCUGAUCCAGCAAUGCCGCGUGUGUGAAGAAAGCCUUCGGGUUGUAAAGCACUUUUGUCCGGAAAGAAAUCAUCGGGGCCAAUACCCCUGGUGGAUGACGGUACCGGAAGAAUAAGCACCGGCUAACUACGUGCCAGCAGCCGCGGUAAUACGUAGGGUGCGAGCGUUAAUCGGAAUUACUGGGCGUAAAGCGUGCGCAGGCGGUGCUGUAAGACCGAUGUGAAAUCCCCGGGCUUAACCUGGGAACUGCAUUGGUGACUGCAGCGCUGGAGUAUGGCAGAGGGGGGUGGAAUUCCACGU
Molecule: ribosomal RNA, 576 nt
Filed under: uncultured bacterium
Lineage: Bacteria
Description: bacterial SSU rRNA
Rfam family: Bacterial small subunit ribosomal RNA
Source: RNAcentral